Long non-coding RNA from Fundulus heteroclitus (mummichog), 1458 nucleotides. RefSeq lists it as uncharacterized. The record is from RefSeq and is a predicted model, not a curated record. Lineage: Eukaryota; Metazoa; Chordata; Actinopteri; Cyprinodontiformes; Fundulidae. The transcript is spliced from 2 exons.
AAAACACAUGAAAAUGAUAGAAUUUAAACCAAUCAUUUAACAUUCUGGUAUUUAUACAUGAACAUUACCAAAAUUGCUUGAAAAAAAAAAUACCCAAAGGCACCACCUAGUGGGAGACUUUGGUAUCACACCUCUAACAAUAUUUGUAAACGAUCUACUUAUAAAAAUCCUAAUAUUAAAAACAAUAACUGUUUAGUGUUAAAUUGAAUUUAGCGAUCACAUGUUCAACUCUGCUACAAAGACUAUAUACUAUAUUUUUAUUACCUUCAACCGACCUGGUUUGAGGAAAAACUCAAGUAAAACCUUCCAAAGGAAACGCUCCUUAUGACUUUAAAUCUUGUGUGAACAUCAUAACAUUGGGUUGGAUUAACUUUCUCUGGGUCCACUUAGUGUGUAAACAAAUAGAGCCUUAUAACAGCAGGAUGUCUAUUUGUUGCUUCAACACAAAUCCCAGUAAACCUAAAGUCCAUUUCAGGGAUUUAAAAGGAAUUUGGAAGAAUGAAGAAUAGAUUGGAGCUCCCGCUUGUAUCUCUUAAGUUCCUAAAUUGUGGGAACCGAAGCUGCAAACUCUUUAACAGUAUUGGAAUGCAAAUAAUAGUCAUGGAAGUCUCAAAACAUGUUGCAGUUAUUAACUUAUUUUGACCCAACCAUGCAUGUGUCUCUUUCAUCUGUCUUCAAAAGCUGUAUAAUUACACUGCAAAAGCAGAUGUGCAUUAAGCUGUGAGGUCAGCCGUCUUUGUCCACCUCCUUCAGUGGUGCUCGGACUUGUUCUCACAUCUUCAGGGCAAAAAUAGUGACUGGUUUUCCUUAAAUCAGACAUUUUCUUGCCAAAUUUCAGGUUUUUCUACGUUUGUUGCUGUUUGAUAUGAAAUAUCGCCUCAUAAAACCCUCUGUGCCACGUGGGAGCAGGUGUGACUGCAGGCUUCAGUCGCGCCUCAAACAUCAGACCUCAAUACAGUGGCCUUUCUUCUAUUGUUUUUUGUUGUUUUGUUUUGUUACUGCAGAAAACUGGUGGAGACUAAAUGUUUGGAACCUGGUUGUGGAAGGAAAUCUCAUAAUAUGAAUAAAGUGAAAUGAUCUAGGGAAACGUGUCUGAUGCCCUCAGCAUGGAUCCAGAAGUCAUUUCCUCUUCCUGCUGGAAGCAGCCACAAUAAUCAAUUAUCUCCCUGAAGGUCUCUCUGUUUUUGGCAGCGACUAAAGUGAGUGAGCCGCAGAUGAAGGUUGUUGGUAUCCAACGUGGAAGACGUGAGUCACUUUGAGUUUUACAGCGGAGAAAAAUGAGGCUGAUGAGCCGACGGGAGGAAAAAGAUGAGGAACAACAUGUCCUGUUUCCUGCUGCUUCAUCAUAACAUCAUUGAUUAAUCACAGAUGAAGAAUAUGUGGGAUUUCUUAGGCUGAUGCAGGGAUACAAACAUUUAUUUUUCUGUUAUACUGAUGCAUAAUAAAACAAUUUCAUAA